GGGCGGUUAGCUCAGCGGUAGAGCACUCGCCUUACAAGCGAGGGGUCACUGGUUCGAACCCAGUACCGCCCA
Non-coding RNA from Microbispora rosea, 72 nucleotides. Lineage: Bacteria; Bacillati; Actinomycetota; Actinomycetes; Streptosporangiales; Streptosporangiaceae. The record is from Rfam.